This 460-nucleotide ribosomal RNA is filed under the name uncultured bacterium. Its description in RNAcentral is "partial 16S ribosomal RNA". It matches the Rfam family "Bacterial small subunit ribosomal RNA", at positions 338 to 795 of the family's 1533-position model. The record is from RNAcentral.
CCUACGUGAGGCAGCAGUGAGGAAUAUUGGUCAAUGGGCGCGAGCCUGAACCAGCCAAGUAGCGUGAAGGAUGACUGCCCUACGGGUUGUAAACUUCUUUUAUAAAGGAAUAAAGUGAGGCACGUGUGCCUUUUUGUAUGUACUUUAUGAAUAAGGAUCGGCUAACUCCGUGCCAGCAGCCGCGGUAAUACGGCGGAUCCGAGCGUUAUCCGGAUUUAUUGGGUUUAAAGGGAGCGUAGAUGGGUUGUUAAGUCAGUUGUGAAAGUUUGCGGCUCAACCGUAAAAGUGCAAUUGAUACUGGCAGUCUUGAGUACAGUUGAGGUAGGCGGAAUUCGUGGUGUAGCGGUGAAAUGCUUAGAUAUCACGAAGAACUCCGAUUGCGAAGGCAGCUUACUAAACUGCCACUGACAUUGAUGCGCGAAAGUGUGGGUAUCAAACAGGAUUAGAUACCCCAGUAGUC